Molecule: transfer RNA, 72 nt
Filed under: Bacteroidales bacterium
Lineage: Bacteria; Pseudomonadati; Bacteroidota; Bacteroidia; Bacteroidales
Description: tRNA-Arg
Rfam family: tRNA
About the family: Transfer RNA (tRNA) molecules are approximately 80 nucleotides in length. Their secondary structure includes four short double-helical elements and three loops (D, anti-codon, and T loops). Further hydrogen bonds mediate the characteristic L-shaped molecular structure. tRNAs have two regions of fundamental functional importance: the anti-codon, which is responsible for specific mRNA codon recognition, and the 3' end, to which the tRNAs corresponding amino acid is attached (by aminoacyl-tRNA synthetases). tRNAs cope with the degeneracy of the genetic code in two manners: having more than one tRNA (with a specific anti-codon) for a particular amino acid; and 'wobble' base-pairing, i.e. permitting non-standard base-pairing at the 3rd anti-codon position.
Source: RNAcentral
GCCCCUGUAGUUUAAAGGAUAGAAUAUAAGAUUCCGGUUCUUAGGGUGGCGGUUCGAUUCCGCCCGGGGGUA